Haliotis rubra (blacklip abalone) is the source of this 117-nucleotide long non-coding RNA. RefSeq lists it as uncharacterized. The record is from RefSeq and is a predicted model, not a curated record. NCBI's taxonomy places the organism in Eukaryota, Metazoa, Mollusca, Gastropoda, Lepetellida, Haliotidae. The transcript is spliced from 2 exons.
UGUUUACACUUGUCAGAGGGGUACACAGUCCGCAGUUAGGUGGCUGACUUUGUGUGCUGGCGAUUAGGUGCCGGUCUCUGAGGGUGUAGGUUUGAAUCUCGGAUGCGACUCAACCCA